CCUACAGGGGGGCUGCAGUGGGGAAUAUUGGACAAUGGGGGCAACCCUGAUCCAGCCAUGCCGCGUGUGGGAAGAAGGCCCUCGGGUUGUAAAGCACUUUCAGUGAGGAAGAACGCCUGGUGGGUAAUACCCAUCAGGAAAGACAUCACUCACAGAAGAAGCACCGGCUAACUCCGUGCCAGCAGCCGCGGUAAUACGGAGGGUGCGAGCGUUAAUCGGAAUUACUGGGCGUAAAGCGCGCGUAGGUGGCUUGAUAAGCCGGUUGUGAAAGCCCCGGGCUCAACCUGGGAACGGCAUCCGGAACUGUCAAGCUAGAGUGCAGGAGAGGAAGGUAGAAUUCCCGGUGUAGCGGUGAAAUGCGUAGAGAUCGGGAGGAAUACCAGUGGCGAAGGCGGCCUUCUGGACUGACACUGACACUGAGGUGCGAAAGCGUGGGUAGCAAACAGGAUUAGAUACCCCUGUAGUC
This 466-nucleotide ribosomal RNA is filed under the name Vreelandella stevensii. Its description in RNAcentral is "partial 16S ribosomal RNA". It matches the Rfam family "Bacterial small subunit ribosomal RNA", at positions 338 to 795 of the family's 1533-position model. The record is from RNAcentral. Lineage: Bacteria; Pseudomonadati; Pseudomonadota; Gammaproteobacteria; Oceanospirillales; Halomonadaceae.